RNAcentral lists this non-coding RNA (107 nucleotides) under Thalassobacillus devorans. Its description in RNAcentral is "SAM riboswitch (S box leader)". It matches the Rfam family "SAM riboswitch aptamer (S box leader)". Rfam says of the family: The SAM riboswitch is found upstream of a number of genes which code for proteins involved in methionine or cysteine biosynthesis in Gram-positive bacteria. The SAM riboswitch acts at the level of transcription termination control. The predicted structure consists of a complex stem-loop region followed by a single stem loop terminator region. The record is from RNAcentral. Lineage: Bacteria; Bacillati; Bacillota; Bacilli; Caryophanales; Bacillaceae.
UCUUAUCCAGAGUCGGCGGAGGGGACAGGCCCGAUGAAACCUCAGCAACCAUCACGGAAGUGAAAAGGUGCUAACCUGUAGCAAGGAUUGAUCCUUGAACGAUAAGA